RNAcentral lists this ribosomal RNA (301 nucleotides) under uncultured bacterium. Its description in RNAcentral is "bacterial SSU rRNA". It matches the Rfam family "Bacterial small subunit ribosomal RNA", at positions 29 to 361 of the family's 1533-position model. The record is from RNAcentral.
AGCGAACGCUGGCGGCAGGCUUAACACAUGCAAGUCGAACGGACCCUUCGGGGUUAGUGGCGGACGGGUGAGUAACACGUGGGAAUGUGCCCUUAGGUUCGAACAACACAGGGAAACUUGUGCUAAUACCGGAUGUGCCCUUGGGGAAAGAUUUAUUGCCUUUGGAGCAGCCCGCGUCUGAUUAGCUUGUUGGUGAGGUAAAGGCUCACCAAGGCGACGAUCAGUAGCUGGUCGAGAGGAUGGCCAGCCACAUUGGGACUGAGACACGGCCCAAACUCCUACGGGAGGCAGCAGUGGGGAA